GAAGGCUGAUGUGUGUGAGAUUACCCGCUGAAUUUAAGCAUAUAAGUAAGCGGAGGAAAAGAAACUAACUAGGAUUCCCUUAGUAAUGGCGAAUGAACAGGGAUCAGCUCAGUGCCAAAUCGGAAUCACUUGUGGUUCUGAAAUGUGGCUUGAAGGCAGUACCAGUGGCAUCGCGGACGAAAGUCUCUUGGAAAAGAGCGUCAUAGAGGGUGAGAAUCCCGUGAGUCGUUCGCCGUUUGUCACGUACGGUCUGCGUUCUAACGAGUCGCGUUCCUUGGGAUUGGAGCGUAAACGGGUGGUAAAUUUCAUCCAAAGCAAAAUAUAUACUCGAGACCGAUAGCACAAAAGUACCGUGAGGGAAAGGUGAAAAGAACUUUGAGAAGAGGGUUAAAUAGUGCCUGAAAUCGUUGAGAAGGAAGCGGAUGCCGCCGUUGCAUAUGCUGAUUGUAGGAUUGCUGCUCGCUCCUGUCUUCUGCUACUCAUUCACAGACCUGGUCGUGUUGAGCAGUUGUUUGGCAGAUGUUAGUGGUGUUUCCUACUCUCAGUCGUCAGCAUCACUGGCUGAGUGGAAAUAAUCCUUGGAUGCUAAUUGGUUCGCUAUCUGUGAAUUGGUUGCUUCCUUGCGAUACUCACUACUCGGUCAGUGAGGAAGUGCGUUUGCUGGUCAACGAGCUUUCUAACUGUCAUUACCCUGCGCUUUUCGAUUCGUCGAGUGGCCAGGAUGUGGCUUUGAGAUUGUUCGCACUUAGUAAUCGCGAUGCUGGCUUCCAACGGUUGCCUCCGGCCCGUCUUGAAACACGGACCAAGGAGUCUAACGUAUGUGCGAGUGUGUGAGUGGCAAACUUAUACGCGUAAUGAAAGUGAGGCCGUAUGGCCAUGUUGGGGUCACCAACAACCGACCUUGAUCUUCGGUGAAAGGUUUGAGUAUGAGCAUAUCCGUUAGGACCCGAAAGAUGGUGAACUAUGCCUGAGCAGGGG
Molecule: non-coding RNA, 978 nt
Filed under: Perkinsus marinus ATCC 50983
Lineage: Eukaryota; Perkinsozoa; Perkinsida; Perkinsidae
Description: Eukaryotic large subunit ribosomal RNA
Rfam family: Eukaryotic large subunit ribosomal RNA
Source: Rfam by way of RNAcentral